GGCCCCCUGUGGGAGGAGAAAUAGGGGGUCUGACCUGCCCGGUGACUUACGUUAAACGGCUGCGGUAUCUUGACCGUGCAAAGGUAGCAUAAUUAUUUGCCCAUUAAUUGUGGGAUGGUAUGAAUGGUUUGACGAGGGUGUGACUGUCUCCUUGUAAUUAUGUGGAAAUUAUUUUCUGGGUGAAGAAGCCUAGAUGUGGCUGAGGGACGAUAAGACCCCGUCGAGCUUUAGUGGAAUUUCGGUAGUUUGUGAAGCAGGUUGUGUGUAAAUUGCAAGAUCUGGGUGAAUCUUUGGUUGGGGCGAUCGAGAAGUAGAAGAAACCUUUUGUUAAGAUUUAAUGACUUGUUAGUGGAGAUCUGGUUUAUUGUACAGAGAGGAAGAAUAAGUUACCGCGGGGAUAACAGCGUAAUCUUCUUGGAGAGUUCAUAUUGAGAAGAGGGUUUGCGACCUCGAUGUUGGAUUAAGAUUUCCUAAGGGUGUAGGAGCUUUCGAGGGUUAGUCUGUUCGACUAUUAAAAUCUUAC
RNAcentral lists this ribosomal RNA (523 nucleotides) under Diodora galeata. Its description in RNAcentral is "partial large subunit ribosomal RNA". It matches the Rfam family "Bacterial large subunit ribosomal RNA", at positions 1817 to 2599 of the family's 2925-position model. Lineage: Eukaryota; Metazoa; Mollusca; Gastropoda; Lepetellida; Fissurellidae. The record is from RNAcentral.